RNAcentral lists this ribosomal RNA (253 nucleotides) under uncultured bacterium. Its description in RNAcentral is "partial 16S ribosomal RNA". It matches the Rfam family "Bacterial small subunit ribosomal RNA", at positions 524 to 776 of the family's 1533-position model. The record is from RNAcentral.
GACAGAGGUGCCGAGCGUUAGGCGGAAUCACUGGGCUUAAAGCGUGUGUAGACGGACUUCUAAGUACCUUGUGAAAUCCCACGGCUUAACCGUGGAACUGCUUGGUAUACUGGUUGUCUUGGGCCAUCUAGGGGCUACUGGAACAAACGGUGGAGCGGUGAAAUGCGUAGAUAUCGUUUGGAACGCCAAUGGUGAAAACAAGUAGCUGGGGAUGUGCCGACGCUGAGACACGAAAGCCAGGGGAGCGAACGGG